UACGUAGGGUGCGAGCGUUAAUCGGAAUUACUGGGCGUAAAGCGUGCGCAGGCGGUUCGUUAAGUUCGAUGUGAAAGCCCCGGGCUCAACCUGGGAAUUGCAUUGGAAACUGGCGGGCUUGAGUGUGGCAGAGGGGGGUGGAAUUCCACGUGUAGCAGUGAAAUGCGUAGAGAUGUGGAGGAACACCGAUGGCGAAGGCAGCCCCCUGGGUCAAGAUUGACGCUCAUGCACGAAAGCGUGGGGAGCAAACAGG
This 253-nucleotide ribosomal RNA is filed under the name uncultured bacterium. Its description in RNAcentral is "partial 16S ribosomal RNA". It matches the Rfam family "Bacterial small subunit ribosomal RNA", at positions 524 to 776 of the family's 1533-position model. The record is from RNAcentral.